RNAcentral lists this ribosomal RNA (253 nucleotides) under uncultured bacterium. RNAcentral describes it as "partial 16S ribosomal RNA". It matches the Rfam family "Bacterial small subunit ribosomal RNA", at positions 524 to 776 of the family's 1533-position model. The record is from RNAcentral.
UACAGGGGGGGCAAGCGUUGUUCGGAAUUACUGGGCGUAAAGGGCUCGUAGGCGGCCAACUAAGUCCGACGUGAAAUCCCAAAGCUUAACUUUGGAACUGCGUCGGAUACUGGAUGGCUUGAAUUCGGGAGAGGGAUGCAGAAUUCCAGGUGUAGCGGUGAAAUGCGUAGAUAUCUGGAGGAAUACCGGUGGCGAAGGCGGCAUCCUGGACCGACAUUGACGCUGAGGAGCGAAAGCUAGGGGAGCAAACAGG